Molecule: ribosomal RNA, 429 nt
Filed under: Bacillota bacterium
Lineage: Bacteria; Bacillati; Bacillota
Description: Firmicutes bacterium partial 16S ribosomal RNA
Rfam family: Bacterial small subunit ribosomal RNA
Source: RNAcentral
UGGGGAAUUUUGGACAAUGGGGGCAACCCUGAUCCAGCAAUGCCGCGUGUGUGAAGAAGGCCUUCGGGUUGUAAAGCACUUUUGUCCGGGAAGAAAUCGCACCUGAUAAUACCGGGUGUGGAUGACGGUACCGGAAGAAUAAGGACCGGCUAACUACGUGCCAGCAGCCGCGGUAAUACGUAGGGUCCAAGCGUUAAUCGGAAUUACUGGGCGUAAAGCGUGCGCAGGCGGUUGUGCAAGACCGAUGUGAAAUCCCCGGGCUUAACCUGGGAAUUGCAUUGGUGACUGCACGGCUAGAGUGCGUCAGAGGGGGGUAGAAUUCCACGUGUAGCAGUGAAAUGCGUAGAGAUGUGGAGGAAUACCGAUGGCGAAGGCAGCCCCCUGGGAUAACACUGACGCUCAUGCACGAAAGCGUGGGGAGCAAACAGG